Esox lucius (northern pike) is the source of this 1919-nucleotide long non-coding RNA. NCBI's taxonomy places the organism in Eukaryota, Metazoa, Chordata, Actinopteri, Esociformes, Esocidae. The record is from Ensembl.
CCCAACUAAGUAUUGAGUGCUAUACAUGCUCAUACUUUUCAUGUUCAUACUUUUCAGUUGGCCAACAUUUCUACCAAAAAGAGAUUUGAGAAACCAAAAUAAUACUUUUGAAAUUGAAAUAAGCCCCCUUUAUUUUAUAUUGAUUAACAUUUUAUAUAAAAGUACUUACAUUUAAUACAUUUCUUCAAAAUACAAGCAGCCAAACAACAUACAAAUCAAAUACAAAAUUAUAAAAUGUGUUAUAUCUAUCCAUUUCUGAAACUAUAAUUCUCUAAAGUAACUUUGAAGCCUUAGAAUUGUGUUUCAUCCUUAUGCCAUAGUUGAUACAGAUAUGUUGUUGGGACAAAAAAGCAACAAAAUAUAUGGAUGUCUGUUUCUCUGUAUACAGUACCUGUGACUGUUCUCAGAACAUUCACGAUGAGCUUCACUAAUCUAAAGGCCUGUUUAUACCUAAUUCUAACAUGUGGCCUAUGUCCUGAUUUUGGGAUCUGACUGUGAUCAGACCUUGUACUUUAAACACACAAGAUCAGGUAUAUUGUACAAAUGCAUGUUAACAGCAGGUAUAAACAGGGGUCCAAACAGAACUUCUUAGAUGCAAUAUACAUUUCUGUCACACAAAUAAAAUAUCUUCCAUUUGUAGAGCAAAUAUAUUUUGUAUAUGUUUGACAUUAUGAUCCAUACAUGAUAUAACAUUAUAGAAUGCUGAAUUAAAUGGUCAAUAGAAAUUGACCAUUUUAAAACCCUCUUAAUCUUGGCCACUGUUGGAUUGUAUCCACCUUGGCUGAAUCAAAUGUUAUAAGCACAAAGACAGAAAACAAGCUUCAAUGUGCAGGUAUGAAGCCAUUAAAUGAUUACAUGUUAUUUUGAAGAUUAAGUGUUUUUGUUCUGAGGAAAGUAAUGACAGUGGAAACCACAGCAAUCAAAACUCGACCAACCACAAAUGUUACUGGUUUGCAAAGUUUCAGACCUGCUUAAGCACUUUACAUUGCGGGAAAAAAGUUGUUGGUUCCACUUUAACAACAGAGAUACGUGUACAGGUACAAAAAUAAGUAUUGUAUUGAUCUUAACUUUUCUUAACAACAAAACAAUUCUGGUGUUAAUAAAGUAUUUUGCAAAUCAGAAGCUUUACUUCAGUGUCAUACAGUAUAUACCAUAUAGUGUUGUAUAACAAAUGCUUGACAAACAGAAUGCAAACAAUGGAAACCAAAAAUUGAAAUAAAGUGUUCAGCACAUAACUGAGGAGGUAAUGCUGAUGUUAAAAACCAACAAACCUAACUGAGAUGACGGGAGCCUGAUAGGAAAUAGAAAAUUCUUAUUUUCCUUGUUUCUAUACAUUUUGUACACUGUCGUAUAAAAGGAGUAGAAAGUGUAGUCAGGCUAUGCAGCGGUUUCGCGAAUUGUCCCCUCAAGUUUCUUUGGGAGUAGCUCUCUCCUCUCAUCUAUGUUGAUUACCGGUUUUCGACAGUUCUGUCCAUCAAGGUAGAUUUUGGAAUACACCGGGUUGGAGUAGUUCAUGGGCUGUAUUAAGGAAGUAAACAUUUUGUUAUUUACCAGCACAUCACUGUAAACACAGAAGAAAAAUACCCUGUAUAUGUUGUUGCCUAGUAGGCUAUGCUACAAACUUAUCUUGAAACAGAACAAUGACUUCACUAUGUUAAAGGUCUUAUAUAUUGCACUGCAAUAAAACAUUAUAGAGGGAUAAAGGCAUAUAUGAAAAAUGUGUCUAGGUUGAUAAAUUGCUAUUCAUUGUUGGACUGUUUAAGUGUACAGCUGUCUUACAGGGAAAGGGAAUUUCUUCAGUUUUGCAUUCUAUGGGAUGUGAAACAAAACACUGAAUGGUUUAUUCAAUACCAUUUCAUUUGUUUUGUAAAAAAAAUCUACUUAAAAUUCAAAUUGCUGGUGCACUCUUUGGAUGCACG